This 492-nucleotide ribosomal RNA is filed under the name uncultured bacterium. RNAcentral describes it as "partial 16S ribosomal RNA". It matches the Rfam family "Bacterial small subunit ribosomal RNA", at positions 29 to 507 of the family's 1533-position model. The record is from RNAcentral.
AGUGAACGCUGGCGGUAGGCCUAACACAUGCAGGUCGAACGGCAGCACAGUAAGAGCUUGCUCUUACGGGUGGCGAGUGGCGGACGGGUGAGGAAUACAUCGGAAUCUACUUUUUCGUGGGGGAUAACGUAGGGAAACUUACGCUAAUACCGCAUACGACCUACGGGUGAAAGCAGGGGAUCUUCGGACCUUGCGCGAUUGAAUGAGCCGAUGUCGGAUUAGCUAGUUGGCGGGGUAAAGGCCCACCAAGGCGACGAUCCGUAGCUGGUCUGAGAGGAUGAUCAGCCACACUGGAACUGAGACACGGUCCAGACUCCUACGGGAGGCAACAGUGGGGAAUAUUGGACAAUGGGCGCAAGCCUGAUCCAGCCAUACCGCGUGGGUGAAGAAGGCCUUCGGGUUGUAAAGCCCUUUUGUUGGGAAAGAGAAGCAGCAGGUUAAUACCCCGCUGUUCUGACGGUACCCAAAGAAUAAGCACCGGCUAACUUCGUG